Molecule: ribosomal RNA, 1170 nt
Filed under: Triticum aestivum (bread wheat)
Lineage: Eukaryota; Viridiplantae; Streptophyta; Magnoliopsida; Poales; Poaceae
Description: partial small subunit ribosomal RNA
Source: RNAcentral
AUGCAGCAGCCACCAGGUUUUGAGGACGCUCGGUAUCCCUCUCAUGUGUGCAAGGUGCAGCGGGCUCUCUAUGGACUCGAACAGUCCCCUCGCGCAUGGUAUGCUCGGCUCAGUUCUCGUCUUCUCCAGUUGGGGUUUGUUCCCUCUCGCGCCGACGCCUCUUUGUUUUUCUUCCGCCAUCAGGAUGUUCAGAUAUACAUGCUUGUCUACGUGGAUGAUAUUGUUAUUGCUGGCUCUUCUCCACGUGCAGUUGACGGUCUUGUUCAUUCACUUGCAGGCACCUUUCCUAUUAAGGACCUUGGGCCGUUGGAGUACUUUCUUGGCUUGGAAGCGUCGUACAAUUCAGGGGGUAUGACCUUGACACAACGGAAGUAUGCCAUGGAUAUUUUACACCGUGUGAACAUGGAGAAUUGUAAGUCCACUUCCACACCGUUGUCUACCUCCGACCAGCUUGCACGGGUGUCUGGACAGCCUCUUGGUGCCGAUGAUUCUUUCCGGUAUCGCAGUGUCGUUGGUGGAUUGCAGUAUUUGACUCUCACUCGCCCAGACAUUUCAUUUGCAGUGAACAAGGUAUGCCAGUUUCUCUCACAGCCCACUGAUGUUCAUUGGGAAGCUGUUAAGCGCAUCCUGCGCUAUGUAAAUGGAACAUUGCAAACUGGACUGAAGUUUCGGAAGGCUGUCCCCAACAGCACUAGUAUUUUCACUGACGCAGACUGGGCCGGGUGUCCUGAUGAUCGACGAUCCACUGGAGGCUUUGCCAUCUUUGUUGGCCCAAAUCUCAUCUCAUGGAGCUCUAAGAAGCAACCGAUGGUGUCGAGAUCUAGUACGGAGGCUGAGUACAAGGCUUUGGCAAAUGGAGCUGCUGAGGCCAUUUGGGUAGAAUCACUACUCAAGGAGCUUGGUGUUUCCCAGCAGCGUGUUCCUGUUCUAUGGUGUGAUAAUUUAGGAGCCACAUAUCUGACUGCCAACCCAGUUUUUCAUGCACGCACCAAGCACAUUGAGAUUGAUUUCCACUUUGUGCGUGAGCGUGUUGCUUCUGGAGCUCUUGAUGCCAGGUUCAUUUCUUCUAAUGAUCAGCUGGCUGACGUGUUUACCAAACCAGCCACUCGACAGAUGCUAGACCGUUUUAGUACCAAUCUAAACCUUGUACAGAGUAGAAGUUCAGAUUGA